RNAcentral lists this ribosomal RNA (253 nucleotides) under uncultured bacterium. RNAcentral's name for it is "partial 16S ribosomal RNA". It matches the Rfam family "Bacterial small subunit ribosomal RNA", at positions 524 to 776 of the family's 1533-position model. The record is from RNAcentral.
GACGAACUGUGCAAACGUUAUUCGGAAUCACUGGGUUUAAAGGGUGCGUAGGUGGGUUGGUAAGUCAGUGGUGAAAUCUCCGAGCUUAACUUGGAAACUGCCGUUGAUACUAUCAAUCUUGAAUAUCGCGUAGGUAAGCGGAAUAUGUCAUGUAGCGGUGAAAUGCUUAGAUAUGACAUAGAACACCAAUUGCGAAGGCAGCUUACUUCACGAUCAUUGACACUGAGGCACGAAAGCGUGGGGAGCAAACAGG